AAUCUUCCACAAUGGACGAAAGUCUGAUGGAGCAACGCCGCGUGAGUGAUGAAGGUUUUCGGAUCGUAAAACUCUGUUGCGAGGGAAGAACAAGUACGAGAGUAACUGCUCGUACCUUGACGGUACCUCGUUAGAAAGCCACGGCUAACUACGUGCCAGCAGCCGCGGUAAUACGUAGGUGGCAAGCGUUGUCCGGAAUUAUUGGGCGUAAAGCGCGCGCAGGCGGCCUUUUAAGUCUGAUGUGAAAGCCCACGGCUUAACCGUGGAAGGUCAUUGGAAACUGGAAGGCUUGAGGAUAGAAGAGGAAAGUGGAAUUCCACGUGUAGCGGUGAAAUGCGUAGAGAUGUGGAGGAACACCAGUGGCGAAGGCGACUUUCUGGUCUAUAACUGACGCUGAGGCGCGAAAGCGUGGGGAGCAAACAG
This 423-nucleotide ribosomal RNA is filed under the name uncultured bacterium. RNAcentral describes it as "partial 16S ribosomal RNA". It matches the Rfam family "Bacterial small subunit ribosomal RNA", at positions 360 to 775 of the family's 1533-position model. The record is from RNAcentral.